GAUGAACGCUGGCGGCGUGCCUAAUACAUGCGAGUCGAGCGAACGGACGAGAAGCUUGCCUCUCUGAUGUUAGCGGCGGACGGGUGAGUAACACGUGGAUAACCUACCUAUAUGACUGGGAUCACUUCGGGAAACCGGAGCUAAUACCGGAUAAUAUUUUGAACCGCAGGGUUCAAAAGUGAAAGACGGUCUUGCUGUCACUUAUAGAUGGAUCUGCGCUGCAUUAGCUAGUUGGUAAGGUAACGGCUUACCAAGGCAACGAUGCGUAGCCGACCGGAGAGGGUGAUAGGCCACACUGGAAGUGAGACACGGACCAGAGUCCUACGGGAGGCAGCAGUAGGGAAUCUUCCGCAGUGGGCGAAAGCCUGACGGAGCGAGGGGGCGUGAGUGAUGGCGGUCUUCGGAGCGGAAAGCCCUGUUAUUAGGUAAGAACAUAUGUGUCAGUAGCCGUGCCCAGAGUGACGGUACCUGAUCAGAAAGCCACGGCUAACUACGUG
Molecule: ribosomal RNA, 497 nt
Filed under: uncultured bacterium
Lineage: Bacteria
Description: partial 16S ribosomal RNA
Rfam family: Bacterial small subunit ribosomal RNA
Source: RNAcentral